Molecule: ribosomal RNA, 468 nt
Filed under: uncultured bacterium
Lineage: Bacteria
Description: partial 16S ribosomal RNA
Rfam family: Bacterial small subunit ribosomal RNA
Source: RNAcentral
GACGAACGCUGGCGGCGUGCUUAACACAUGCAAGUCGAACGGAAAGGCCCUGCUUUUGUGGGGUGCUCGAGUGGCGAACGGGUGAGUAACACGUGAGUAACCUGCCCUUGACUUUGGGAUAACUUCAGGAAACUGGGGCUAAUACCGGAUAGGAGCUCCUGCUGCAUGGUGGGGGUUGGAAAGUUUCGGCGGUUGGGGAUGGACUCGCGGCUUAUCAGCUUGUUGGUGGGGUAGUGGCUUACCAAGGCUUUGACGGGUAGCCGGCCCGAGAGGGUGACCGGCCACAUUGGGACUGAGAUACGGCCCAGACUCCUACGGGAGGCAGCAGUGGGGAAUAUUGCACAAUGGGCGGAAGCCUGAUGCAGCAACGCCGCGUGCGGGAUGACGGCCUUCGGGUUGUAAACCGCUUUCGCCUGUGACGAAGCGUGAGUGACGGUAAUGGGUAAAGAAGCACCGGCUAACUACGUG